GUGAGCAAGCAGUUAUGGGAUUGCGCAUGCUCAGUGUGUAAGAGUGAGAGCAAACAAUUACACUGGAGCGCUGUUGAGAUCCAUCGUAUGUCCAACGUUACUUUAGAUGGAUUGACAUGUUAGCUUCUUGCUAGCUGAAUACCAGUGCUCUCAGAACCACAUUGUGGAGUUGAUAAGAUUAUUUGAAGCUGCAGUAAGGGUGAAAUGAGGAGCUAUUGUUCCAUAUGGAGUUAAGGUAUCAUGUGGACAGUGUGUUUGCUACAUGAAGAACUCGGAUGUGGAGGUCCUGGGCUGGCGUGGAUACAUGUGGUCUGGGCCGGUUGGACCUGCUGACAAAUUUUCUAAAACGACGUUGGAGAAAUUAACAUUCAAUUAUCUAGCAACCGCUCUGGUGGACAUUCCUGCAGUCAGUAUGUCAAUUGCACGCUCCCUCAAAA
This is a long non-coding RNA of Oncorhynchus tshawytscha (Chinook salmon), 437 nucleotides long. RefSeq lists it as uncharacterized. The transcript is spliced from 4 exons. Lineage: Eukaryota; Metazoa; Chordata; Actinopteri; Salmoniformes; Salmonidae. The record is from RefSeq and is a predicted model, not a curated record.